CCUGGUGGUUGGAGCGAAGGGGUAACACCCGAUCCCAUCCCGAACUCGGCCGUGAAGACCUUCAGCGCCGAUGGUACUGCGUCCUAAGACGUGGGAGAGUAGGUCACUGCCAGGU
RNAcentral lists this ribosomal RNA (115 nucleotides) under Alphaproteobacteria bacterium. The record is from RNAcentral. Lineage: Bacteria; Pseudomonadati; Pseudomonadota; Alphaproteobacteria.